This 428-nucleotide ribosomal RNA is filed under the name uncultured bacterium. Its description in RNAcentral is "partial 16S ribosomal RNA". It matches the Rfam family "Bacterial small subunit ribosomal RNA", at positions 354 to 796 of the family's 1533-position model. The record is from RNAcentral.
GUAGGGAAUAUUGCGCAAUGGGGGAAACCCUGACGCAGCGACGCCGCGUGAGUGAUGAAGGCCUUCGGGUCGUAAAGCUCUGUUGCAGGGGAAUAAAAAAAUGAAGGUACCCUGUGAGGAAGGAUCGGCUAACUUCGUGCCAGCAGCCGCGGUAAGACGAGGGAUACUAGCGUUGCUCGGAAUCAUUGGGCGUAAAGAGGGCGUAGGUGGCUUGGUAAGUCAGGUGUGAAAGCCCAGGGCUCAACCAUGGAAGUGCAUUUGAUACUGCUGAGCUUGAGUGUCGGAAAGGUUACCGGAAUACCUGGUGUAGUGGUGAAAUACGUAGAUAUCAGGUGGAACACCGGAGGCGAAGGCGGGUAACUGGACGAACACUGACACUGAGGCCCGAAAGCGUGGGGAUCAAACAGGAUUAGAUACCCGAGUAGUCC